CCUACGGGAGGCAGCAGUGAGGAAUAUUGGUCAAUGGACGCAAGUCUGAACCAGCCAUGCCGCGUGCAGGAAGACGGCUCUAUGAGUUGUAAACUGCUUUUGUACGAGGGUAAACGCAGAUACGUGUAUCUGUCUGCAAGUAUCGUACGAAUAAGGAUCGGCUAACUCCGUGCCAGCAGCCGCGGUAAUACGGAGGAUUCAAGCGUUAUCCGGAUUUAUUGGGUUUAAAGGGUGCGUAGGCGGUAGGAUAAGUUAGAGGUGAAAUCUCGAGGCUCAACUUCGGAAUUGCCUUUGAUACUGUUCGGCUAGAGAGUAGUAGAGGUAGGCGGAAUGUAUGGUGUAGCGGUGAAAUGCUUAGAGAUCAUACAGAACACCGAUUGCGAAGGCAGCUUACCAAGCUACUUCUGACGUUGAGGCACGAAAGCGUGGGGAGCAAACAGGAUUAGAUACCCUUGUAGUC
This 460-nucleotide ribosomal RNA is filed under the name uncultured bacterium. RNAcentral's name for it is "partial 16S ribosomal RNA". It matches the Rfam family "Bacterial small subunit ribosomal RNA", at positions 338 to 795 of the family's 1533-position model. The record is from RNAcentral.